RNAcentral lists this long non-coding RNA (998 nucleotides) under Lynx pardinus (Iberian lynx). Lineage: Eukaryota; Metazoa; Chordata; Mammalia; Carnivora; Felidae. The record is from RNAcentral.
GCUCUCCUCUCCUGCUAAGCUUCGUUUCCCGACAGUAAUUAAAACCUUCUGCCACUGCCAUAGCUACUGCUGCUGCUGGAACUGCCACCUUGGUUUCUGGUUUGACAAAGUAUUGGCCUCCACCACCAUAGGGCGCAGAGCUUCUGCCUCCAAACUUCCCUCCUUGCAGGGGUCCAAAAUUUGAAGAUUGAUUGUUGUAAUUGCCAAAAUCAUUAUAGCUUCCGCCACCUCCAAAAUUGCUUCCAUCAUUACCAAAUCCGUUACAGCCAUCCACACUGCCACCACGUCCACCACCACCUCGCCUGCCACCAAAGCCACCUCGCCCACUGAAGUUUCCCCCACGACCAGAGUUGUCAUUCCCACCACAACCACCACCAAAGUUUCCAGGACCACUUUGACCUCUCUGGCUGGCUGAAGCACCAGCCAUCUCCUGCUUAAAUAGGGCUCUCCUCACUUCCCAGUGUGGCCAUUCACAGUAUGGUAUUUUUGAAUGACAAUCUUGUCUACACAGUCAUGAUCAUUAAAUGUUACAAAAGCAAAAUUCUCUUCUUGCCACUACCUCGGUCAGCCAUGAUUUCAGUCACUUCAGUUUUCCCAUUCUGUUCAAAAUAAUCUCUAGGAUGUGUGCUUCAGGGUCUUCUUUAAGGCCACCGACAGAAAUCGUUUUCACAGUUAAGCGGGCACCAGGUCUUUGAGACUCGUCUCUUGAGACAGCCCUCUCUGGUUCUACAACUCUUCCAUCCACCUUGUGUGGCCUUGCAUUCAUGGCUGCGUCCACCUCUUCCACAAUGGCGUACGUGACAAACCCAAAGUCUCUGGAGCGCUUGGUGUUGGAUCUCUCAUUACCACAGUCUGUAAGCGUUCCCCCAUUACUCAAAAUGGCUCCUCAGACUCUCAUCGGUUGGUUCAAAGCCCAAACCUCUGAUGAAAACCGCAGCUGUUCAGGCUCUUUGGGAGACUCUGACAUGACGGCGUCUACAGGCAGAAAGCAAGAGAGA